Molecule: long non-coding RNA, 623 nt
Filed under: Dunaliella salina
Lineage: Eukaryota; Viridiplantae; Chlorophyta; Chlorophyceae; Chlamydomonadales; Dunaliellaceae
Description: long non-coding RNA (DSAL_LNC000424)
Source: RNAcentral
UUCAGGCCUAUACACAAACACCACACAUUCUUAUUGGUGGUGAUUUCAACGCACACAUUGCCAACAGAAAAGAACUUUCUGAUGUACAUUACGAGUUUCUCUCACGACAUCCUUACCUCACUCACAAUAGGCAAUCUCGAUGCUAGUUAACAGAGCGGGCAUAGGCCUCCUUGACUUGGCAGCUACUUACAAGCUUCUCAUAACCACAGGACAUGUYAAUGGAGACUUAGGCCAACGAACGUAUACAGGAUAUGAUAACCAAUGUAAUUCUCGUCCAGAUCACUUUAUGUGUUCCUUUAGAACUAUUCUCGCUAUUGCACCGUGCUGAUAUUACAUAUCUUGUAUGUUUUGACCAUGCCGCUCUAUCCAAUUUUUUUGUCCCCUCAUCCAGUCCAACAGGGCAUAUAGAUAAGAGACUUCAAUCACCCAUAUGUAAUUUUUUAUUACCCUCACAAUGUCAGGAAUUCCUUCUACGAUGGCGACCGGAUCGCGCCACCCUUUUUGCUCAAAUCUUCCGUAACAAUGACGAGAAACGUAACCGUUUUUCACAUCAUGUUCGGGCACAAGAUGUUGAUUAUUCCUAUCAGGAGCUCAAAUCUUAGAUAGUACAGACAGCGUGUGAC